GCAAUACCCCCGGUAAAGUGGCGAACGGGUGAGUAACACGUGGGUAGCCUGCCCUCGAGUUCGGAAUAACCCGCCGAAAGGUGGGCUAAUACCGGAUAAAGUUCUUGGUUCCCCGGAAUCGAGAACCAAAGAUGGCCAAUGCUUGCAAGCUAUCACUUGAGGAGGGGCCCGCGGCCCAUUAGCUAGUUGGCGGGGUAAUGGCCCACCAAGGCAACGAUGGGUAGCCGGCCUGAGAGGGCGAUCGGCCACAUUGGAACUGAGACACGGUCCAGACUCCUACGGGAGGCAGCAGUGAGGAAUCUUGCGCAAUGGGCGAAAGCCUGACGCAGCAACGCCGCGUGGGUGAUGAAGGCCUUCGGGUCGUAAAACCCUGUCAGGUGGGAAGAAUCGGGUGGGGGCUAAUAUCCCCUGUCCUUGACUGUACCACCAGAGGAAGCCCCGGCUAACUCCGUGCCAGCAGCCGCGGUAAUACGGAGGGGGCCAGCGUUGUUCGGAAUUAUUGGGCGUAGAGGGCGCGUAGGCGGUCGAGUAAGUCUGACGUGAAAUCCCUUGGCUCAACCAAGGAAUUGCGUCUUAAACUGCUCGGCUUGAGUCCGGGAGAGGGUAGUGGAAUUCCCAGUGUAGCGGUGAAAUGCGUAGAUAUUGGGAGGAACACCGGUGGCGAAGGCGGCUACCUGGACCGGUACUGACGCUGAGGCGCGAAAGCUAGGGUAGCAAACAGGAUCAGAUACCCUGGUAGUCCUAGCUGUAAACGAUGGGCACUUGGUGUAGCGGGUAUCGACCCCUGCUGUGCCGAAGCUAACGCA
RNAcentral lists this ribosomal RNA (806 nucleotides) under uncultured Pseudomonadota bacterium. RNAcentral describes it as "bacterial SSU rRNA". It matches the Rfam family "Bacterial small subunit ribosomal RNA", at positions 77 to 859 of the family's 1533-position model. Lineage: Bacteria; Pseudomonadati; Pseudomonadota. The record is from RNAcentral.